GUAUAGAAGUCAGGGUUAGAUCGGUCUCUCAGUGGAGGCGCGGGCAAUCCGUCGUAUUGAAUGAAAGAGUAUUCUUUUGUUGUUUAUUUCAGAGAAAUCUGUAUUUUACUCAGUACGAUAGUGGAUUUGACAUUAAUUAAUACGGCCAUUAAUACAAAAUUAGAAGUUGUCAAGUAUGAAGGCAUCAUGUUUACGAAAGUGCUGACUAAGGAACUUAUAGGAUCCAAGGGGUGGUGGAAGGGGUGCUCUCUAGUAGCAGCCAAAAAAGUUACUAACCAAGUGAAAUCCUUAAGAAAAGAGAUUGAAGUGGCAGAACUCUGAGACUUCCAGGGACUUCCUUGACCAUUCAAUAAAUAGGUGGUAAUAAUCAAUUUCCAGGUAUUGACUUAUUCGUAGACUACCAACUCAAUUGUGUAUUUUUCUCUUACAACUGAGGCGAAGUUUAAGGGCUAUGUUUGUAUUGUAUGUCUUCAUUACAAGUUGUAGUAAAGUUUUGGCGCUGCACUUUAGCUAAGUCUCCAGAAACCGAGCAACAAUUUCCAAGUUGUAGGAGGGUAAAUGAACGUCUACACUGAGAAAUCACAUUGCCUUUUAAAUGGACAUAAUAUGAUUGAGUAUGUACCAGAUAAUGUGCAUAAAUAAAGUUUAUAUAUAUGACUGACCUAUAAUAAAGCAUGUCGUGACCAACCUUUGGGAAUUGUAGGCCUAGAAUAAUAAUUUUGUAAUGAUUGUGUAUUAAUGUGUAGACUUAAUGGAGAGGUGAGAUAACUCAUUAUUAGUGUUUUAAUGAAACAAACCAAUAAAUAUUGCAAUGAAUUAUGAAAAGAUCAUAGGACUGUUAUAGGAUUUG
Molecule: long non-coding RNA, 850 nt
Organism: Anneissia japonica
Lineage: Eukaryota; Metazoa; Echinodermata; Crinoidea; Comatulida; Comatulidae
Exons: 3
Source: RefSeq, a predicted model, not a curated record